RNAcentral lists this ribosomal RNA (119 nucleotides) under Methanomicrobiales archaeon. Lineage: Archaea; Methanobacteriati; Methanobacteriota; Methanomicrobia; Methanomicrobiales. The record is from RNAcentral.
AGCGGCCAGAGCAGCGGGGCCACACCCGGACCCAUUCCGAACCCGGAAGUUAAGCCCGCUUACGUAUCGUGCGGUACUGAGAUACGCGAGUUCUCGGGAACCACGAAAAGCUGCUAUUA